UGUUAAAAGUUUCAUCCGUUUCUAUUAUUAAAAACUGACAUUAACAAAAUAAUUAGACAGUUACACAUGUCAUGCCAUGUGUACCUCAUUCUGACAUUCAAGGACCAAUUCUUAAUAGUAGAAAUUAAUGAAACUUUUAAUA
Molecule: non-coding RNA, 142 nt
Organism: Gossypium hirsutum (cotton)
Lineage: Eukaryota; Viridiplantae; Streptophyta; Magnoliopsida; Malvales; Malvaceae
Source: Rfam